AACGCAUAUGGCACCCGAGACCUCGGUCGAGGGUAUGUCUGCCUCAGAGUCGGCGUAAAUCAACUCCCUCGUUUGGCCACGCCAAGGAGGGGAACUGACCCUCCCGCGCCGUGGGUGCGGGUCGGUCGAAGGCGAGAAACGGGUGUUGCCGGCCGGUACCGUUCCCGGCUGACCGAGAUUUGUUGGAGGACCAACGUCCGAUCUUCGUCUCGGGACAGGGGAAACGGCUAGCGCCGAGCACUCCCGCCGUGCAGGAAAUCGGGGGGCGCCAGCAAUGGCAAGACCCCCCCUUUCAUCCGACCUGAGUUCAGGCAAGAUCACCCGCUGAACUUAA
RNAcentral lists this unclassified non-coding RNA (334 nucleotides) under uncultured fungus. Its description in RNAcentral is "partial contains 5.8S ribosomal RNA, internal transcribed spacer 2, and large subunit ribosomal RNA". Lineage: Eukaryota; Fungi. The record is from RNAcentral.